RNAcentral lists this non-coding RNA (656 nucleotides) under Fusarium oxysporum. RNAcentral describes it as "eukaryotic LSU rRNA". The stretch from base 321 to 474 matches the Rfam family "5.8S ribosomal RNA". RNAcentral also lists the same sequence under 1 other name. Lineage: Eukaryota; Fungi; Ascomycota; Sordariomycetes; Hypocreales; Nectriaceae. The record is from RNAcentral.
UGUACACACCGCCCGUCGCUACUACCGAUUGAAUGGCUCAGUGAGGCGUCCGGACUGGCCCAGAGAGGUGGGCAACUACCACUCAGGGCCGGAAAGCUCUCCAAACUCGGUCAUUUAGAGGAAGUAAAAGUCGUAACAAGGUCUCCGUUGGUGAACCAGCGGAGGGAUCAUUACCGAGUUUACAACUCCCAAACCCCUGUGAACAUACCACUUGUUGCCUCGGCGGAUCAGCCCGCUCCCGGUAAAACGGGACGGCCCGCCAGAGGACCCCUAAACUCUGUUUCUAUAUGUAACUCUGAGUAAAACCAUAAAUAAAUCAAAACUUUCAACAACGGAUCUCUUGGUUCUGGCAUCGAUGAAGAACGCAGCAAAAUGCGAUAAGUAAUGUGAAUUGCAGAAUUCAGUGAAUCAUCGAAUCUUUGAACGCACAUUGCGCCCGCCAGUAUUCUGGCGGGCAUGCCUGUUCGAGCGUCAUUUCAACCCUCAAGCACAGCUUGGUGUUGGGACUCGCGUUAAUUCGCGUUCCCCAAAUUGAUUGGCGGUCACGUCGAGCUUCCAUAGCGUAGUAGUAAAACCCUCGUUACUGGUAAUCGUCGCGGCCACGCCGUUAAACCCCAACUUCUGAAUGUGACCUCGGAUCAGGUAGGAAUACCCGC